CCUCCGUUCUUGGCAUGCACGCUUUCUCCCUGUAUCCGUGUAUGUAUGUUAUGGAGGGAUAACAAGGCCAGUGCUAUGUCUUCGGUGCCAGAAUGUUCCUUGUCUUCUGGUUCUAUCCUCAAUUCGCUGGUACAUCC
Molecule: small nucleolar RNA, 137 nt
Organism: Salvelinus namaycush (lake trout)
Lineage: Eukaryota; Metazoa; Chordata; Actinopteri; Salmoniformes; Salmonidae
Product: small nucleolar RNA SNORA57
Exons: 1
Source: RefSeq, a predicted model, not a curated record